Long non-coding RNA from Pantherophis guttatus, 1077 nucleotides. RefSeq lists it as uncharacterized. The record is from RefSeq and is a predicted model, not a curated record. Lineage: Eukaryota; Metazoa; Chordata; Lepidosauria; Squamata; Colubridae.
GGGAAGAUAAGUUUUGAGGUUGCAUGAAUCUGUUCAUCUUUGUGGACUUGCACUCUCCCCAACAGAGCUGGUUUUCCUUUUAUGAAGUUCAGAGUAAUGUUGACCCUAACAUUCAGUGUCCUGAAGAAAAAAUUACAUGGAAUGAAUAUGUACCUUCAUUGAACAUCUCACUCCUAGUUCUGAUCUUCUAUGAGUAACCCAACACCCUGGAACCCUACCAAAAUGUAAAUAAAUUGUCAUAGGGGUGAUUGUUGGAUCGUGCUGGAGCGUAAGAUAAAGAACAUGCUACAUCAAAGAAGAUAGUUGUUUGGAGGUUUUUUUUUUCACUGUGCCAUUCCGGAACCUGACAUUUACAAUGAGAAAAACAUAAGUUUUAGGUGGCAUGGUUUUCUAUGAUAUGCAAAAGUCAAAAAUCAGUCUGAGAAGAAUGCCAUAUUAAGAAUAUGGAUCAGAUAUACUGCAAAUCCUGCUGUGCCCAAAAAUACUAUUACUCGCCUCAGUACAAGAAGUGUUUUAUAGAACAGAAACAGCAAGCAAGGAUAAAUGGCUAAGAUAUCAAGACUUGCUAGUAGAGGAAAAUUGAGAACUUAAGAUGAAAUCAAGAGAACAAUUGACUGCAGAGGGAUUUACUUUUCAAUGGGUUUUUUAAAUACACAAUUAAAAGAGAGGUUUAAUGUGUCUAAAAAGAUAUCAGAGAGAUAACGGUAUGUAAUGGAAUUUGAAAUGGAAUUAUGUACAAAUGAUGAACAUGUAAUUGCUAAAAUGUAUAAACUUGUGUUAAGAUUUGAGAUGGAAGAAGAAACUAUGACAAAAUGGGCUAAGCAUUUUGGUAAUAAUAUACAGAUGAACGGUGGAAAAGAAUGUGCCUAACAGCCUGAAAUUCAACUGUCUUAUAACUUAAGAAAGAAUUUAUAUAAAAUGAUGUGCUGUUGGUAUAUGUCAGCAGAAAAAUUAGCAAGGAUAUAAAAACAUAUUUCUAAUUGCUGCUGGAAAUGUGAAAAAUAUGAAGGGACAUUUUUCCUUGCAUGGUGGAUGUGUGAAAAAGCAAAAAAUAAAAUAAAAUUGGACACAAAUGCA